RNAcentral lists this long non-coding RNA (210 nucleotides) under Lathyrus oleraceus (garden pea). RNAcentral describes it as "Pisum sativum (pea) long non-coding RNA (PSAT_LNC042183)". The record is from RNAcentral. Lineage: Eukaryota; Viridiplantae; Streptophyta; Magnoliopsida; Fabales; Fabaceae.
GAUCUCUCCGGGCAACCUUUUUGUUUUGUUUGUGUGAGUUGUUUCUCCCUUUCUGGUAGGAGUCUGAUGUAAGUCCAACGAUUGGCAGUUGGUUUCCUGUGUCUUGUUUGCUUGUUGGAGUCUGACGUAAGUCCAGCGAUUGGUAGUUGGUUUCCUGUGUCUGGUUUGUUUGUAGGAAUCUGACAUAAGUCCAGCAAUUGGCAGUUGGUU